UGGCGGCGUGCCUAUACAUGCAAGUCGAGCGGACCGACGGGAGCUUGCUCCCUUAGGUUAGCGGCGGACGGGUGAGUAACACGUGGGUAACCUGCCUGUAAGACUGGGAUAACUCCGGGAAACCGGGGCUAAUACCGGAUGCUUGAUUGAACCGCAUGGUUCAAUUAUAAAAGGUGGCUUUUAGCUACCACUUACAGAUGGACCCGCGGCGCAUUAGCUAGUUGGUGAGGUAACGGCUCACCAAGGCAACGAUGCGUAGCCGACCUGAGAGGGUGAUCGGCCACACUGGGACUGAGACACGGCCCAGACUCCUACGGGAGGCAGCAGUAGGGAAUCUUCCGCAAUGGACGAAAGUCUGACGGAGCAACGCCGCGUGAGUGAUGAAGGUUUUCGGAUCGUAAAACUCUGUUGUUAGGGAAGAACAAGUACCGUUCGAAUAGGGCGGUACCUUGACGGUACCUAACCAGAAAGCCACGGCUAACUACGUGCCAGCAGCCGCGGUAAUACGUAGGUGGCAAGCGUUGUCCGGAAUUAUUGGGCGUAAAGCGCGCGCAGGCGGUUUCUUAAGUCUGAUGUGAAAGCCCCCGGCUCAACCGGGGAGGGUCAUUGGAAACUGGGGAACUUGAGUGCAGAAGAGGAGAGU
RNAcentral lists this ribosomal RNA (643 nucleotides) under Bacillus sp. (in: firmicutes). Its description in RNAcentral is "bacterial SSU rRNA". It matches the Rfam family "Bacterial small subunit ribosomal RNA", at positions 37 to 662 of the family's 1533-position model. Lineage: Bacteria; Bacillati; Bacillota; Bacilli; Caryophanales; Bacillaceae. The record is from RNAcentral.